UGAGGAAUAUUGCACAAUGGGGGCAACCCUGAUGCAGCAACGCCGCGUGGAGGAUGAAGGCUUUUGAGUUGUAAACUCCUUUUCUGAGGGAAGAGUAAGGACGGUACCUCAGGAAUAAGGCCCGGCUAACUACGUGCCAGCAGCCGCGGUAAUACGUAGGGGGCGAGCGUUGUCCGGAAUUAUUGGGCGUAAAGAGCGUGUAGGCGGCCUGGUAAGUCUGUCGUGAAAUGCUGGGGCUCAACCCUGGACGUGCGAUGGAUACUGCUAGGCUAGAGGAUGGUAGAGGCGAGUGGAAUUCCCGGUGUAGCGGUGAAAUGCGCAGAUAUCGGGAGGAACACCAGUAGCGAAGGCGGCUCGCUGGGCCAUUCCUGACGCUGAGACGCGAAAGCGUGGGGAGCAAACAGGAUUAGAUACCCCGGUAGUCC
RNAcentral lists this ribosomal RNA (425 nucleotides) under uncultured prokaryote. RNAcentral describes it as "bacterial SSU rRNA". It matches the Rfam family "Bacterial small subunit ribosomal RNA", at positions 355 to 796 of the family's 1533-position model. The record is from RNAcentral.